GAGUCAGAGGGCUGGAGGAGUGCCUCAGCUGCUGGAUGUGGCUGGGGAUGGUGGUUGUAGAGGUGGGUGGUGCUGAGGGCAAAGCUCCAGCUGAGGGCACGAGCCCCUGUGGGCUUUGGUUUGUCCCUGGUGUGCUUGUGGUUGAGCCUCUUCAGGGCUUGAUUUUUCUGGUAGGUGUUUACUGUAACUUGUAAAAGGAGCAGGAGAUGUGGGCAGGGGUCUGGGUGUGCUCUAAAUUAGUCCUGUCUGUAAUGAAAACAGGCAUAUUAACUAUUCUCUCUACUCCCCAACUUGCCUUGAGACCUUUAGGUCACUGGACCUCUGUUCAUUACAUAGAGGACUAUGAAAUUCACGUAUCUUGUUGUAUGUUUACCCAGCUGGUAGCAGGAGGGGGAGGUUUGCAGUCUGGGUGCAGCCCCCUCCGUGCUGGGAACAACCUGCACUGAUCCUCCUCCAGCUCUGACCCUGCCAGGACUUGGAAAUUGCUGUGCUCUGGGAGCAGCUUUGCUGAGAAUAGGAAUUCAUAGUGUUCAAUAAAUAUUAUUAGGAAACAGAAAGAUAAUAAUUAUGUCAAUUACAGGAUGGGUAAUUGGGCUUGGAAAAGAAAAGUACUUUUCUUCCUAAUUGCUGGGGCCAUGCUACUGUGAUUGCAUGUAUCAGUUCCAAAAAUAAAAGGCCAGCUAUCAAGUGGAGAAAGCACUUUGUUUUUCUAAUGGCAUGCUGUAGCACUGUGCCUGCAAGAGCGUGCUGGGCCAGCCUGCGACCAGGAACUUAAAAGGCCAUCAGCUUUAAAAAAUAAAUAAGGGGGUGAGGAGUGGGAAGCAUUAUCUUCAGGAAUAAGAGCCUCUGCUGUGGUCCUUCUGCUCCCAAAGCACUCGGCACACUGAGCUCUGCCCCCGCUGCUGGGGUUAUCCCAGUGUUUCCUAUGGGGGUUUGGAGGCAACAGGCUCGUUCCCCAUGCCUGGAUUGGACAGGCUGUGUGUUCCCUGGGUUCUCAGGGAGUUUCAGUUGUUUCCACGAAAAAUAAAUACCCCCUUGGCGUGUUUGUGGCAUCGGUUUCUUACUGCAAACACAAGGCUGAAUGGGAAAGGAAGGGAAGACUGAGUUGCUGGUGUUGAAUGCAGAUCUUGUGUGGCUGCACCGGCAUCUCUGACAGCAUAAUCUCCUGCUUGGUGUCAUCAUUAUGGAAACAAGCCGUAAAUCUCCCCCUUGAUGUUAUGUAGAUCUGGGAUCGCUUGCCUCACGGGAACAGCCACUGUUAAGAAAUAGGGUGUUGAACAUAAAGAUUGCAAGCACUAAUUUUGGGAAGGAGCUGCCCUAGCGCCGAGAGCCACCGGUGAUGCUGGGGCUCAGCAUGGGGUUGGCUCCCAGCUCUGGGCGCUCCCCACACCAAAUCCUCUUCUCCACUUCUUGUUCUCUUGCAGAGCCAUAGA
This is a long non-coding RNA of Lagopus muta (rock ptarmigan), 1433 nucleotides long. RefSeq lists it as uncharacterized. NCBI's taxonomy places the organism in Eukaryota, Metazoa, Chordata, Aves, Galliformes, Phasianidae. The transcript has 3 exons. The record is from RefSeq and is a predicted model, not a curated record.